RNAcentral lists this long non-coding RNA (463 nucleotides) under Anser brachyrhynchus (Pink-footed goose). Its description in RNAcentral is "lncRNA (ENSABRG00000021969.1)". The record is from RNAcentral. Lineage: Eukaryota; Metazoa; Chordata; Aves; Anseriformes; Anatidae.
GGGAUGCACCAGGUCCUCUGCAGGUGCUUCCAAUAGAUGCCGCAAGCUGCCCUCACGAGCAGCAGCUGCUGGGGAGCAGGAGAUUAUUUAGGUGGGCUUCCAGGGGGCCCUGUAACCGUAGGGUUGAGCUUGGGUGGUGCUGCUGGUGGGUGUUUGCUGCCUUUAGAUGGGGGCUCCUGUCCUGGCUCUCUCUGUCAGGUCUGAUGUUCUUCACUUGUCAGAAUCUCCAAAGUAGCAGCCCUCUUGAAUUAGAGGGUAAAGAGCAGCAAGUAGGAAAAACCUAUUUCCAAGGUUCGCCAUGCGUUGUGAGCAGAGAAGAGCCAAGGCGUUGGACACUGUCAAUGAAUCUGUGUUGCAACAGAAGCCACUUCUGUCUGCGUGCACAGCUGCUACACUUCUAACCCAGCUGUCAGUGGGGAAAUGGUGAUUCAGUAAAACCCAAAUGUUUGAAAACUGUGUGGCC